Molecule: long non-coding RNA, 668 nt
Filed under: Chinchilla lanigera (long-tailed chinchilla)
Lineage: Eukaryota; Metazoa; Chordata; Mammalia; Rodentia; Chinchillidae
Description: lncRNA (ENSCLAG00000027937.1)
Source: RNAcentral
UCUGAUGGAAGGGGCCAAUAAUAACAAGAUCCUGCCGCUGAUUUUCCCUUUCAGGGAAAGGACUUUCUAUGCUACCCACACCAGUUCCCUUGGACCCCUGGAGCCAGCAGUCCAUGCCACAGCAGGCAAGGGGGAGAAAACUAGAUGUCUGAGACGGGGGAAGGCAUGAGAGAACCCAGGGACCAGCUAGAAAGCAAAAAGUGAGAGCACAUGUGAGCUGAGGUCAAAGAGACGUGGCUCUGAACCCAGAGCAUGCUGCUGUCCCAGACCCACCACUGGACCUCUUGCCUUGGUGUCUCAUCAGUGUGACAGUGACAUCCACCUGCAAGGUGCUGCAAGGCACAUCAUGUGCACUGGAGGUCAAGCUCAGCACUUUGAACGUGGCUGGAGCUCAGGAACCUGCAUGUUUGUGACUAUGGAGCUUCAGUGGUUCUGCAGCAUAUGGGCCCAGGACAGAGAAUGUAACACCGCUGCUCCUGCAGCCCCCCAGGUUGUGUACUCUGCUGGCGUUCCAUCAGGGUGAGAAGAAUGGCAUUUCCUUUCCCUUCCUCCCUCUCUCUUUUCCUCUUUCCCUCACACCCUCCCUCCCUCUCUUCCUCCAUCCCUUCCCUGCCUUCUUUUGUUUCUCUGUGCUGGUGAUUGAAGGCACGGGGCCUUUGCACUAAGAG